CAGUAGCCGCGGUAACACAGAGGGUGCAAGCGUUAAUCGGAAUUACUGGGCGUAAAGCGCGCGUAGGUGGUUUGUUAAGUUGGAUGUGAAAUCCCCGGGCUCAACCUGGGAACUGCAUCCAAAACUGGCAAGCUAGAGUAUGGUAGAGGGUGGUGGAAUUUCCUGUGUAGCGGUGAAAUGCGUAGAUAUAGGAAGGAACACCAGUGGCGAAGGCGACCACCUGGACUGAUACUGACACUGAGGUGCGAAAGCGUGGGGAGCAAACAGGAUUAGAUACCCCUGUAGUCCCUGUCUCUUAUAA
Molecule: ribosomal RNA, 301 nt
Filed under: uncultured bacterium
Lineage: Bacteria
Description: partial 16S ribosomal RNA
Rfam family: Bacterial small subunit ribosomal RNA
Source: RNAcentral